AUUGAACGCUGGCGGCAUGCCUUACACAUGCAAGUCGAACGGCAGCACGGGAGCAAUCCUGGUGGCGAGUGGCGAACGGGUGAGUAAUGUAUCGGAACGUACCAUUGAGUGGGGGAUAACGUAGCGAAAGUUACGCUAAUACCGCAUAUACCCUGAGGGGGAAAGCAGGGGAUCGCAAGACCUUGUGCUCUUUGAGCGGCCGAUAUCAGAUUAGCUAGUUGGUGAGGUAAAGGCUCACCAAGGCGACGAUCUGUAGCGGGUCUGAGAGGAUGAUCCGCCACACUGGAACUGAGACACGGUCCAGACUCCUACGGGAGGCAGCAGUGGGGAAUUUUGGACAAUGGGGGCAACCCUGAUCCAGCCAUGCCGCGUGAGUGAAGAAGGCCUUCGGGUUGUAAAGCUCUUUCGGCCGGGAGGAAAUCGCAUCAGUUAAUACCUGGUGUGGAUGACAGUACCGGAAUAAGAAGCACCGGCUAACUACGUG
Molecule: ribosomal RNA, 484 nt
Filed under: uncultured organism
Description: bacterial SSU rRNA
Rfam family: Bacterial small subunit ribosomal RNA
Source: RNAcentral